GUUGUGUCAGCAUUGGCUAGAGAGGUGCUUCUGACUCAGUGCACCGCGUUCCUCCCUGUCUCUCCUGCUUAAAACAAUUCUGUCUAUAAUGCCAGUAGAUAUUUUGGCUUUGUCAAGGAGCAGUCUGGCAGGGAUGGCAGAGUCCAUUAUGGAGCACUGAAGCUUUAGUUCCAGUAGAGACCCACCCUCAGUGGAGGCAGCACUGAGACACUGCUAGCAUCACCCCCCACGGCUUCCAACCACCGCUGCCCGCCAUACACCUCUAGUACGGACAGGACCUGGAGAGUAAUGUAUGAAACACUGCUUCUGUCAAAGCGGCACUACAUUUGUUGGGUUAGAAGGUCAAGAACAUUACUGUUGGGUGAGUGGGUAGACUGGAGACAACUGAGGGCUCAGAAGCUGCAAGCUAAUGCACAGAACAAAGAAGCUGGCCAGUGUACAGCAGUGCAGGUGGAUAGUCCUACCAAAAGCCUGCAGAGGGGCCUUCUGGUUUAGUGUCAUCUGUUGCUGCAAAUAAACUAUUUCAUGAUUA
Molecule: long non-coding RNA, 532 nt
Organism: Aquila chrysaetos chrysaetos
Lineage: Eukaryota; Metazoa; Chordata; Aves; Accipitriformes; Accipitridae
Exons: 4
Source: RefSeq, a predicted model, not a curated record